GUCUAUAACAUAUAGUUUGGAAAUUUUCAUAUACACAUCAUUACAUGUAGCAAUUAUCUCAAAUUACAGAGGACACUCUAAGAUGUUAAACAAUCUACCAAAAUUUACAUUAGCAAAAUGUGGAAUCAAAUUUUGAAAAUCAAAUCUCUUGACUCUAUAACCAGUAUCCUUACCAGUAUCUCAUUAUUUGGUUCAAAGAGAUGCCUUACUUCUAAAAUUAUUCUAUAUAGACCGGAUCAUUUUUUUUUAUUCUUACAUACCUCAUAUUGUGCCUAUCACUACAUUCAAAAAUACAUUUUAAAAAGUUCUUGAAAUAAAUGCUCUAAAUUGGAAUGUCAAAACAUGAAUAUUUUACAUGUGCCUGGGUGAUUUCCUUUAAGUUAACCCCAUAAUACACCUUUUUUAAUGCAUCUAAUUCUAACAUUAAAUUUAGUGUAGUCUAUUAUGUCCACCAUCCAACUUCCAUUUACCUUAAGAAUCUAAGAUUCAAAAUAAUGUAUAUGGCAACUAGGCUAAUUCUUAAUUCUUUUG
Molecule: long non-coding RNA, 531 nt
Filed under: Bos taurus (domestic cattle)
Lineage: Eukaryota; Metazoa; Chordata; Mammalia; Artiodactyla; Bovidae
Description: long non-coding RNA NONBTAT025758
Source: RNAcentral